This 843-nucleotide ribosomal RNA is filed under the name uncultured Bacteroidota bacterium. RNAcentral describes it as "bacterial SSU rRNA". It matches the Rfam family "Bacterial small subunit ribosomal RNA", at positions 13 to 846 of the family's 1533-position model. The record is from RNAcentral. Lineage: Bacteria; Pseudomonadati; Bacteroidota.
UUGAUUCUGGCUCAGGAUGAACGCUAGCUACAGGCUUAACACAUGCAAGUCGAGGGGAAACGACAUCGAAAGCUUGCUUUUGAUGGGCGUCGACCGGCGCACGGGUGAGUAACGCGUAUCCAACCUGCCCACCACUUGGGGAUAACCUUGCGAAAGUAAGACUAAUACCCAAUGACGUCUCUAGAAGACAUCUGAAAGAGAUUAAAGAUUUAUCGGUGAUGGAUGGGGAUGCGUCUGAUUAGCUUGUUGGCGGGGUAACGGCCCACCAAGGCAACGAUCAGUAGGGGUUCUGAGAGGAAGGUCCCCCACAUUGGAACUGAGACACGGUCCAAACUCCUACGGGAGGCAGCAGUGAGGAAUAUUGGUCAAUGGACGAGAGUCUGAACCAGCCAAGUAGCGUGCAGGAUGACGGCCCUAUGGGUUGUAAACUGCUUUUAUAAGGGAAUAAAGUGAGUCUCGUGAGACUUUUUGCAUGUACCUUAUGAAUAAGGACCGGCUAAUUCCGUGCCAGCAGCCGCGGUAAUACGGAAGGUCCGGGCGUUAUCCGGAUUUAUUGGGUUUAAAGGGAGCGUAGGCCGGAGAUUAAGCGUGUUGUGAAAUGUAGACGCUCAACGUCUGCACUGCAGCGCGAACUGGUUUCCUUGAGUACGCACAAAGUGGGCGGAAUUCGUGGUGUAGCGGUGAAAUGCUUAGAUAUCACGAAGAACUCCGAUUGCGAAGGCAGCUCACUGGAGCGCAACUGACGCUGAAGCUCGAAAGUGCGGGUAUCGAGCAGGAUUAGAUACCCUGGUAGUCCGCACGGUAAACGAUGGAUGCCCGCUGUUGGUCUGAAUAGGUCAGCGG